UGAAUACGAGACGCUAAGGCGUCGAAGUAGUGUAUGUCAUACUUCCAAGAAAAGCUUGCACUGUCAUAGAUAAAAAACGCCUGUACCAUAACCGACACAGGUGGGUAGGUAGAGUAUACUAAGGGGCGCGAGAUAACUCUCUCUAAGGAACUCGGCAAAAUAACUCCGUAACUUCGGGAGAAGGAGUGCCUUAUUCGUAAGGUUGCAAUAACAAGAUCCAAGCAACUGUUUAUCAAAAACACAGGUCUCCGCUAAGUCGUAAGACGAUGUAUGGGGGCUGACGCCUGCCCAGUGCCAGAAGGUUAAAGAAGUUGGUUAGCAAUUGCGAAGCUGAUAACUGAAGCCCUGGUGAACGGCGGCCGUAACGAUAACGGUCCUAAGGUAGCGAAAUUCCUUGUCGGGUAAGUUCCGACCCGCACGAAAGGCGUAAUGAUUUGGAUACUGUCUCGGAGAGGGGCUCGGUGAAAUAGACUUGUCUGUGAAGAUGCGGACUACCUGCACCAGGACAGAAAGACCCUAUGAAGCUUUACUGUAACUUGAAAUUGAAAUUGGACUUUAUUCGCGCAGUAUAGGUGGGAGGCGUUGAUUAUAAUCUUGUGGGAUUAUUGGAGCCAUCAGUGAGAUACCACUCUUGUAAUGUUAGAUUUCUAACUUUGAAUCAUUAUCUGGUCAAAGAACAGUUUCAGGCGGGCAGUUUGACUGGGGCGGUCGCCUCCUAAACGGUAACGGAGGCGUACAAAGGUUUCCUCUGAACGGUUAGAAAUCGUAUCUAGAGUGUAAAGGCAUAAGGAAGCUUGACUGUGAGACCUACAAGUCGAGCAGGGACGAAAGUCGGUCUUAGUGAUCUGACGGUACUGAGUGGAAAGGCCGUCACUCAACGGAUAAAAGUUACUCUAGGAUAACAGGCUGAUCUCCCCCAAGAGUUCACAUCGACGGGGAGGUUUGGCACCUCGAUGUCGGCUCAUCGCAUCCUGGGGCGGUAGUACGUCCCAAGGGUUGGGCUGUUCGCCCAUGAAAGCGGUACGCGAGCUGGGUUCAGAACGUCGUGAGACAGUUCGGUCCAUAUCCGGUGUAGGCGUUAGAAUAUUGAGAGGAGCCUUCUUUAGUACGAGAGGACCGAGAAGGACAUACCUCUGGUGUACCAGUUAUCGUGCCAACGGUAAACGCUGGGUAGCUAUGUAUGGAGUGGAUAACCGCUGAAAGCAUCUAAGUGGGAAGCCCACCUCAAGAUAAGUAUUCUCAUC
Molecule: ribosomal RNA, 1244 nt
Filed under: metagenome
Description: bacterial LSU rRNA
Rfam family: Bacterial large subunit ribosomal RNA
Source: RNAcentral